UACGAAGGGUGCGGGCGUUAAUCGGAAUUACUGGGCGUAAAGCGUGCGUAGGUGGCGGGUCGAGUUCACCGUGAAAGUCCUGGGCUUAACCUGGGGAUUGCGGUGAGUACUGACCUGCUCGAGUCGGGUAGAGGGUCGUGGAAUUCCUGGUGUAGCGGUGAAAUGCGUAGAUAUCAGGAGGAACAUCGGUGGCGAAGGCGGCGACCUGGACUCAGACUGACACUGAGGCACGAAAGCGUGGGGAGCAAACAGG
RNAcentral lists this ribosomal RNA (253 nucleotides) under uncultured bacterium. Its description in RNAcentral is "partial 16S ribosomal RNA". It matches the Rfam family "Bacterial small subunit ribosomal RNA", at positions 524 to 776 of the family's 1533-position model. The record is from RNAcentral.